Molecule: ribosomal RNA, 253 nt
Filed under: uncultured bacterium
Lineage: Bacteria
Description: partial 16S ribosomal RNA
Rfam family: Bacterial small subunit ribosomal RNA
Source: RNAcentral
UACGUAGGGCGCAAGCGUUAUCCGGAAUUAUUGGGCGUAAAGAGCUCGUAGGCGGUUUGUCGCGUCUGCCGUGAAAGUCCGGGGCUCAACUCCGGAUCUGCGGUGGGUACGGGCAGACUGGAGUGAUGUAGGGGAGACUGGAAUUCCUGGUGUAGCGGUGAAAUGCGCAGAUAUCAGGAGGAACACCGAUGGCGAAGGCAGGUCUCUGGGCAUUAACUGACGCUGAGGUGCGAAAGCGUGGGGAGCAAACAGG